UUUCAUCACAAGAGGACUUUUUAGGAGAUGCUAUCUGGUGAGCAAUAGGUCGGAAAAGUGUGAGUGUGAGUGUGAGUGUGAGUGUGAGUGUGAGUGUAAGUAUUCGUACUUGUACCUUCUACACUCGUACUCUACCCGUGGUACAAUCUGUUGAUCCGUUGAGCCACUUGAACCUGCAGUUUACACACUACAAAACCCAGUCUCCUCUGUCUGGAAGUCAUCUCAAGUGCAUUGCAUGGCCAUCAAGUGUCACCUAUUCGACCCACAUUGACAGCGACAGGACGCUACAAGUAGGAACUCUGACGGGUGUCAUCGGAUCCGGUGGGAUUUGGUGACCGACAGAUGCACUCUGGCUCCCCUUUUAGUCCAAUACGAUGAAAAGUCGGAGAGUUUCUUCCACGGCUUUGGCACGUGAAAAGAAAAUGACAGAAAUGUGACAGAAAGGUGACAGCUUGGCUACUUGUAGAGAGUAGUUGAGGAAAAGUCGGUUAAUUGGUUGGGGAGGGGUUUCAAUGGUUCGAUUUGGUUGUGCCGGGCGGAUGGGUGGAGGUACGUAUAGUCAGUGAUCGUACGGUAUGUUCUCUCACUCGUACUAUACGACCAGAUGUUAUUGGGGUGAUUGACGAGAGAUCCGCUUUGAGCAGCUGUAUGAAGUGACAUAUUGUGCUCAUCUGCUCAAGACUGUCCGGGCUGACACACAUGUCGUGGAUCAUCUAUUGACGGCUCCGCAGAAAAUGUAGGAGAGGUGUCAGAAAGCCACCAGGGGAUCAAAGACGUUCAGAAACAAACAAAACAUGACUCGAGAACAAAAAAUCGAAAAACAAAUAGUGACUCAUAGUACUCGGAGUAUGUACUGUAUGUACUGUAUCCAACAAAGAUCAUAGAUCGGUCAACACUGUCGCCCGAAAGUUGCACCAUGUCAGAUCCCUCAAACUCCCACAGACAGUUUAUAGCCACAAGUCCUCUGAAAGAGUGCUCAUAUGCUAUUCUUCCAACAGUCGUCACUCACAUUCUCUUUCAAUUGACCUUUUAAGUCAUACUCCACAUCUGACAAAGCUGUGUAUGACAGUGGGGAGUGAGUACCUGCCGCAGUUCUAUCUUGCUCUGAAGAAAAACGUCGAGCUGCAACAAGUUAGAUUUCGAUUUUCUUUUAGCCCCUUCUUUCACACGCGGGGAUUCAUUUCCCCUUUAGAAAAGUAGCUGCUGAAUUUGGUCAACCUGAUGGCGUCUCAGACGAAUCCUCCACUAGGAUGCGGAGACUCUCGUGAUGAGCCUCUCUGGUAGAGAGAAGAGUCUGGUUAUGGGAACACCUCCCGGAAAGUGAUAUGUAAGUCGUACAUGUGUUUGUUAUAUAAAAUUUCACUUUAUCCAACAA
This 1375-nucleotide unclassified non-coding RNA is filed under the name Yarrowia lipolytica. Lineage: Eukaryota; Fungi; Ascomycota; Dipodascomycetes; Dipodascales. The record is from RNAcentral.